Molecule: ribosomal RNA, 407 nt
Filed under: uncultured bacterium
Lineage: Bacteria
Description: bacterial SSU rRNA
Rfam family: Bacterial small subunit ribosomal RNA
Source: RNAcentral
UCGAGGAUCUUCGGCAAUGAGCGCAAGCUUGACCGAGCGACGCCGCGUGUGCGAUGAAGGCCUUCGGGUUGUAAAGCACUGUCGAGGGGGAGAAAGGGCAACUUGAUCUAUCCCUGGAGGAAGCACGGGCUAAGUUCGUGCCAGCAGCCGCGGUAAGACGAACCGUGCGAACGUUGUUCGGAAUCAUUGGGCUUAAAGGGCGCGUAGGCGGGCCAACAAGUCCGGGGUGAAAUACUCUAGCUCAACUAGAGAACUGCCCCGGAUACUGUGGGUCUCGAGGAAGGUAGGGGCAUGCGGAACGGGUGGUGGAGCGGUGAAAUGCGUUGAUAUCACUCGGAACUCCGGUGGCGAAGGCGGCGUGCUGGACCUUUUCUGACGCUGAGGCGCGAAAGCCAGGGGAGCGAACG